RNAcentral lists this ribosomal RNA (253 nucleotides) under uncultured bacterium. Its description in RNAcentral is "partial 16S ribosomal RNA". It matches the Rfam family "Bacterial small subunit ribosomal RNA", at positions 524 to 776 of the family's 1533-position model. The record is from RNAcentral.
UACGUAGGGUGCGAGCGUUAAUCGGAAUUACUGGGCGUAAAGCGUGCGCAGGCGGUGAUGUAAGACAGUUGUGAAAUCCCCGAGCUCAACUUGGGAAUUGCAAUGGAUACUGGCAGGCUGGAGUAUGGUAGAGGAAGGUGGAAUUCCCGGUGUAGCAGUGAAAUGCGUAGAGAUCGGGAGGAACACCAGUGGCGAAGGCGGCCUUCUGGGCCAAUACUGACGCUCAUGCACGAAAGCGUGGGGAGCAAACAGG